UCAGGCCUAACACAUGCAAGUCGAGCGGUAACAGAGGAGCUUGCUCCUGCUGACGAGCGGCGGACGGGUGAGUAACGCGUGGGAAUCUGCCUAUUGGUGGGGGAUAGCCCGGAGAAAUCCGGAUUAAUACCGCAUAGUACCUAAGGGUUAAAGCAGGGGAUCUUCGGACCUUGCGCCAGUAGAUGAGCCCGCGUCAGAUUAGUUUGUUGGUGAGGUAAUGGCUCACCAAGACUGCGAUCUGUAGCUGGCCUGAGAGGGUGGUCAGUCACACUGGAACUGAGACACGGUCCAGACUCCUACGGGAGGCAGCAGUGGGGAAUAUUGGGCAAUGGGCGCAAGCCUGACCCAGCCAUGCCGCGUGUGUGAAGAAGGCUUUCGGGUUGUAAAGCACUUUAAGUUGGGAGGAAGGUGCGACGGUUAAUACCCGUUGUAAUUGACGUUACCAACAGAAUAAGCACCGGCUAAUUCCGUGCCAGCAGCCGCGGUAAUACGGAAGGUGCAAGCGUUAAUCGGAAUUACUGGGCGUAAAGCGCACGUAGGCGGUUUGCUAAGUCAGAUGUGAAAGCCCAGGGCUUAACCUUGGAACUGCAUCUGAUACUGGCAGGCUAGAGUACAGUAGAGGGAGGUGGAAUUUCAGGUGUAGCGGUGAAAUGCGUAGAGAUCUGAAGGAACACCAGUGGCGAAGGCGGCCUCCUGGACU
RNAcentral lists this ribosomal RNA (700 nucleotides) under uncultured bacterium. RNAcentral's name for it is "bacterial SSU rRNA". It matches the Rfam family "Bacterial small subunit ribosomal RNA", at positions 42 to 735 of the family's 1533-position model. The record is from RNAcentral.